GAUGAACGCUGGCGGCGUGCCUAAUACAUGCAAGUCGAGCGAACGGACGAGAAGCUUGCUUCUCUGAUGUUAGCGGCGGACGGGUGAGUAACACGUGGAUAACCUACCUAUAAGACUGGGAUAACUUCGGGAAACCGGAGCUAAUACCGGAUAAUAUUUUGAACCGCAUGGUUCAAAAGUGAAAGACGGUCUUGCUGUCACUUAUAGAUGGAUCCGCGCUGCAUUAGCUAGUUGGUAAGGUAACGGCUUACCAAGGCAACGAUGCAUAGCCGACCUGAGAGGGUGAUAGGCCACACUGGAACGGAGACACGGUCCAGACUCCUACGGGAGGCAGCAGUAGGGAAUCUUACGCAAUGGGCGAAAGCCUGACGGAGCAACGCCGCGUGAGUGAUGAAGGUCUUCGGAUCGUAAAACUCUGUUAUUAGGGAAGAACAUAUGUGUAAGUAACUGUGCACAUCUUGACGGUACCUAAUCAGAAAGCCACGGCUAACUACGUG
This 497-nucleotide ribosomal RNA is filed under the name uncultured bacterium. Its description in RNAcentral is "partial 16S ribosomal RNA". It matches the Rfam family "Bacterial small subunit ribosomal RNA", at positions 28 to 507 of the family's 1533-position model. The record is from RNAcentral.